Molecule: long non-coding RNA, 374 nt
Filed under: Columba livia (rock pigeon)
Lineage: Eukaryota; Metazoa; Chordata; Aves; Columbiformes; Columbidae
Description: partial uncharacterized LOC102087991
Source: RNAcentral
GCAGAAAGAUGUCUUGAAGUGAAGAGUAAGAGCCUGGUCUUUAAUAAACGUCACACAAUUAGGACUGGGAGCAGGUCGCUCUUUGGAAUGGCCCUAACGUGAAGGUGGAGCUUACAGGUCCUGGCUGCCAUGUGCAAAUUGUUACCAAUGUUUGCCCAUUAAGGUUCAGCUCUUGACAAGUCCUGUGGAAGGUGGUGAGACAGCAAGAGCAGAUUUCUUCUGGGUGUUCAUGCUGAAAACAUCUUGUGUGAGGAGGAAUCCAAUAAAACGUGCAUUAGCUUGGGGACGAGUGGUUGUAAAGACUACGUGUCUGCGAUAUGUUAAGAAACUGUAACAGUUACACAGUUCUGAUCACACAUAUAUUAAAAUUAUCU